UACAGAGGGUGCGAGCGUUGUCCGGAAUCACUGGGCGUAAAGGGCGCGUAGGUGGCCCGACAAGUCACUGGUGAAAGCUCGACGCUCAACGUCGAGUCGGCCAGUGAUACUGUUGGGCUGGAGCACUGUAGAGGCUCAUGGAAUUCCGGGUGUAGCGGUGGAAUGCGUAGAGAUCCGGAAGAACACCGGUGGCGAAGGCGGUGAGCUGGGCAGUAGCUGACACUGGGGCGCGACAGCGUGGGGAGCAAACAGG
Molecule: ribosomal RNA, 253 nt
Filed under: uncultured bacterium
Lineage: Bacteria
Description: partial 16S ribosomal RNA
Rfam family: Bacterial small subunit ribosomal RNA
Source: RNAcentral